AUUGAACGCUGGCGGAAUGCUUUACACAUGCAAGUCGAACGGCAGCACGGACUUCGGUCUGGUGGCGAGUGGCGAACGGGUGAGUAAUGUAUCGGAACGUGCCCAGUCGUGGGGGAUAACGUAGUGAAAAUUACGCUAAUACCGCAUACGAUCUAUGGAUGAAAGCGGGGGAUCGCAAGACCUCGCGCGAUUGGAGCGGCCGAUAUCAGAUUAGGUAGUUGGUGGGGUAAAGGCCCACCAAGACAACGAUCUGUAGCUGGUCUGAGAGGACGACCAGCCACACUGGAACUGAGACACGGUCCAGACUCUGACGGGAGGCAGCAGUGGGGAAUUUUGGACAAUGGGCGAAAGCCUGAUCCAGCCAUUCCGCGUGCAGGAUGAAGGCCCUCGGGUUGUAAACUGCUUUUGUACAGAACGAAAAGGUUUCUACUAAUACUAGGAGCUCAUGACGGUACUGUAAGAAUAAGCACCGGCUAACUACGUGCCAGCAGCCGCGGUAA
RNAcentral lists this ribosomal RNA (500 nucleotides) under uncultured bacterium. RNAcentral's name for it is "partial 16S ribosomal RNA". It matches the Rfam family "Bacterial small subunit ribosomal RNA", at positions 30 to 523 of the family's 1533-position model. The record is from RNAcentral.